UACGAAGGGGGCGAGCGUUGUUCGGAAUUACUGGGCGUAAAGGGCGCGCAGGCGGCUCUGAAAGUCAGAUGUGAAAGCCCCGGGCUUAACCUGGGAAUUGCAUUUGAUACUCUGGAGCUUGAGUACGGGAGAGGAGAGUGGAAUUCCCAGUGUAGAGGUGAAAUUCGUAGAUAUUGGGAAGAACACCGGUGGCGAAGGCGGCUCUCUGGACAGUAACUGACGAUGAGGCGCGAAAGCGUGGGGAGCAAACAGG
Molecule: ribosomal RNA, 253 nt
Filed under: uncultured bacterium
Lineage: Bacteria
Description: partial 16S ribosomal RNA
Rfam family: Bacterial small subunit ribosomal RNA
Source: RNAcentral